RNAcentral lists this ribosomal RNA (495 nucleotides) under uncultured bacterium. RNAcentral describes it as "partial 16S ribosomal RNA". It matches the Rfam family "Bacterial small subunit ribosomal RNA", at positions 28 to 507 of the family's 1533-position model. The record is from RNAcentral.
GACGAACGCUGGCGGCGUGCCUAAUACAUGCAAGUAGAACGCUGAAGGAGGAGCUUGCUUCUCUGGAUGAGUUGCGAACGGGUGAGUAACGCGUAGGUAACCUGCCUGGUAGCGGGGGAUAACUAUUGGAAACGAUAGCUAAUACCGCAUAAUAGCAGUUGUUGCAUGACAACUGUUUGAAAGGUGCAAUUGCACCACUACCAGAUGGACCUGCGUUGUAUUAGCUAGUUGGUGGGGUAACGGCUCACCAAGGCGACGAUACAUAGCCGACCUGAGAGGGUGAUCGGCCACACUGGGACUGAGACACGGCCCAGACUCCUACGGGAGGCAGCAGUAGGGAAUCUUCGGCAAUGGACGGAAGUCUGACCGAGCAACGCCGCGUGAGUGAAGAAGGUUUUCGGAUCGUAAAGCUCUGUUGUAAGAGAAGAACGAGGGUGAGAGUGGAAAGUUCACACUGUGACGGUAUCUUACCAGAAAGGGACGGCUAACUACGUG